This 56-nucleotide transfer RNA is filed under the name Strongyloides vituli. Its description in RNAcentral is "tRNA-Leu". The record is from RNAcentral. Lineage: Eukaryota; Metazoa; Nematoda; Chromadorea; Rhabditida; Strongyloididae.
GUAGAUUUAGUAUAAUAUAAUAUGUUGGGUUUAGGUCCCAAAGAUGAAUAUCUACU